This 433-nucleotide ribosomal RNA is filed under the name Klebsiella pneumoniae. RNAcentral's name for it is "partial 23S ribosomal RNA". It matches the Rfam family "Bacterial large subunit ribosomal RNA", at positions 2510 to 2925 of the family's 2925-position model. Lineage: Bacteria; Pseudomonadati; Pseudomonadota; Gammaproteobacteria; Enterobacterales; Enterobacteriaceae. The record is from RNAcentral.
GGCGGUGUUUGGCACCUCGAUGUCGGCUCAUCACAUCCUGGGGCUGAAGUAGGUCCCAAGGGUAUGGCUGUUCGCCAUUUAAAGUGGUACGCGAGCUGGGUUUAGAACGUCGUGAGACAGUUCGGUCCCUAUCUGCCGUGGGCGCUGGAGAAUUGAGGGGGGCUGCUCCUAGUACGAGAGGACCGGAGUGGACGCAUCACUGGUGUUCGGGUUGUCAUGCCAAUGGCACUGCCCGGUAGCUAAAUGCGGAAGAGAUAAGUGCUGAAAGCAUCUAAGCACGAAACUUGCCCCGAGAUGAGUUCUCCCUGAGACUUUAAGUCUCCUGAAGGAACGUUGAAGACGACGACGUUGAUAGGCCGGGUGUGUAAGCGCAGCGAUGCGUUGAGCUAACCGGUACUAAUGAACCGUGAGGCUUAACCUUACAACGCCGAAG